AGUGAACGCUGGCGGUAGGCCUAACACAUGCCAGUCGAACGGCAGCACAGUAAGAGCUUGCUCUUACGGGUGGCGAGUGGCGGACGGGUGAGGAAUACAUCGGAAUCUACUUUUUCGUGGGGGAUAACGUAGGGAAACUUACGCUAAUACCGCAUACGACCUACGGGUGAAAGCAGGGGAUCUUCGGACCUUGCGCGAUUGAAUGAGCCGAUGUCAGAUUAGCUAGUUGGCGGGGUAAAGGCCCACCAAGGCGACGAUCCGUAGCUGGUCUGAGAGGAUGAUCAGCCACACUGGAACUGAGACACGGUCCAGACUCCUACGGGAGGCAGCAGUGGGGAAUAUUGGACAAUGGGCGCAAGCCUGAUCCAGCCAUACCGCGUGGGUGAAGAAGGCCUUCGGGUUGUAAAGCCCUUUUGUUGGGAAAGAAAAGCAGCAGGUUAAUACCCCGCUGUUCUGACGGUACCCAAAGAAUAAGCACCGGCUAACUUCGUG
This 492-nucleotide ribosomal RNA is filed under the name uncultured bacterium. RNAcentral's name for it is "partial 16S ribosomal RNA". It matches the Rfam family "Bacterial small subunit ribosomal RNA", at positions 29 to 507 of the family's 1533-position model. The record is from RNAcentral.